Non-coding RNA from Picea glauca (white spruce), 80 nucleotides. The record is from Rfam. NCBI's taxonomy places the organism in Eukaryota, Viridiplantae, Streptophyta, Pinopsida, Pinales, Pinaceae.
AACAGUUUGGCCGAGUGGUCUAAGGCGCCAGAUUUAGGCUCUGGUCCGAAAGGGCGUGUGUUCAAAUCCUACAGCUGUCA